Molecule: transfer RNA, 78 nt
Filed under: Muribaculaceae bacterium
Lineage: Bacteria; Pseudomonadati; Bacteroidota; Bacteroidia; Bacteroidales; Muribaculaceae
Description: tRNA-OTHER
Rfam family: tRNA
About the family: Transfer RNA (tRNA) molecules are approximately 80 nucleotides in length. Their secondary structure includes four short double-helical elements and three loops (D, anti-codon, and T loops).
Source: RNAcentral
CGCCGGAUAGCUCAAUGGCAGAGCCAUAGCGGAGUUGAACGACCGCGAACGAUGGGGGUUCGAGUCCCUCUCCGGCGA